Molecule: long non-coding RNA, 671 nt
Organism: Xiphophorus couchianus (Monterrey platyfish)
Lineage: Eukaryota; Metazoa; Chordata; Actinopteri; Cyprinodontiformes; Poeciliidae
Exons: 3
Source: RefSeq, a predicted model, not a curated record
UGUAAAACUGGUUAUAUUUCACCUCAAAUCCAUCCUCAUUACCUGUGUAUAUUAGUUUUUCUUAGUUUUUGAAUUAUAUUUUAUUUAGAAGCUUUAAUUUUCUUGUUUCCCGUCUCCUCGUCAUAUCCUGUGUGUUCGCCCUCCUCAGUUCGCGCCAAGCUGCGCUGGGGAGAGGUGUGUGUGGGAAAGCCAGAGCCCAAGAACUGGAGUGCUGAUAUAUUCUUGUUUUAAACAGAAUAAACCUGCCCUACUGCUGCAAUACACCCCGGUGUCCUCGUCUGCUGGUUCCCUUUGCCUGUUACACACAACGCAGAGUUCAUACAGCAGAUGAGUCGGAUGAGAGCGGCUACACUUCAUCACGUCGUUGAAGGAAAGACCUGAAAACCUCGACCGCCCUGAACCGAAGGAGAGAGCAGGCGUCUCAUCACGGACGUAAAGUCCUGCAGGAGCCGGAACCAGCCGGGUCCAGACAGGAUCUGCACCAGCUCCAUCAGAGGUGGAUGGUUCAUGGGGUUUCAGGAUGAUAUUUUUAUAAUAUUGAGUGAAACUCAAAUAUUAAUAACCUUCAACCUGAGAGCAGCAGAGCACACGGUCGGCCAUCCAGAAACAACCCGAGGCGAAAAGAGCUGCGGAGGAAACACCUGGAGGCUUCCAGCCUCCUCCUCCAUCCA